Long non-coding RNA from Melospiza melodia melodia, 367 nucleotides. RefSeq lists it as uncharacterized. Lineage: Eukaryota; Metazoa; Chordata; Aves; Passeriformes; Passerellidae. The record is from RefSeq and is a predicted model, not a curated record. The transcript is spliced from 3 exons.
GUGGCUUUUAUGUGCCACAGAGCUCUGGGGACCAUCAGAGCAGCACUUGCAAACUGCCAGCCAUUCAGGAUUCUCCCCGGACCAGUGCAUAUCUGCAGGGACUUGUGACCCUCCCCAACAAGCCCAGAGUGGCCCAGCUGCUGGGCAGGGGUGGACACAUCCCGAGGGACCAGCUUCCCAUAGUGAUCAGGACUCUGGAUGAGCCAGUCCCGGCCACCUCACGGGAUCACCGGCCAGGCACAGUGUCCCAGCAAGGCACCAGGACACCAGGACUCCGCCAGCCACUCCAGCCCCGUGAGACUUGAGCAGCCCUCAAGCAGCUGGACAGGACUGGGAAGCCAGUGCUCCACCAGGGUUGCUUUGUCAG